This 73-nucleotide transfer RNA is filed under the name Patescibacteria group bacterium. Its description in RNAcentral is "tRNA-Gly". It matches the Rfam family "tRNA". Rfam says of the family: Transfer RNA (tRNA) molecules are approximately 80 nucleotides in length. Their secondary structure includes four short double-helical elements and three loops (D, anti-codon, and T loops). The record is from RNAcentral.
GCGGGCGUAGCUCAGUUGGUAGAGCGGCUGGUUCCCAACCAGCAGGUCGGGAGUCCGAACCUCCUCGCCCGCU